Molecule: ribosomal RNA, 492 nt
Filed under: uncultured bacterium
Lineage: Bacteria
Description: bacterial SSU rRNA
Rfam family: Bacterial small subunit ribosomal RNA
Source: RNAcentral
GAUUAUGGCUCAGGAUGAACGCUGGCGGCGCGCUUAACACAUGCAAGUCGAACGGUUAAAGCACCUCCGGGUGUGCAUAAAGUGGCGAACGGCUGAGUAACACGUGGGCAACCUGCCCCCCGCACCGGGAUAGCCUCGGGAAACCGUGGGUAAUACCGGAUACUCCGCCACCCCCGCAUGGGGGAGGCGGGAAAGCGUACACGGCGGGGGAUGGGCCCGCGGCCUGUUAGCUCGUUGGCGGGGUAACGGCCCACCAAGGCGAUUAUGGGUAGCCGGGUUGAGAGACCGACCGGCCAGAUUGGGACCGAGACACGGCCCAGACUCCUACGGGAGGCAGCAGUGGGGAAUCUUGCACAAUGGGCGAAAGCCUGAUGCCAGCGACGCCGCGUGCGGGAUGAAGGCCCUCGGGUUGUAAACCGCUUUCAGCAGGGACGAGGCGCAAGUGACGGUACCUGCAGAAGAAGCCCCGGCUAACUACGUGCCAGCCGCGGC